ACCUGGUUGAUCCUGCCAGUAGUCAUAUGCUUGUCUCAAAGCUUAAGCCAUGCAAGUGUAAGUUCACGCCACGCAUUAGAACGGGCGAAACCGCGAAUGGCUCAGGAACCGGACCUAAUCCUCGGGACCGUAAUCCUCCUCGGAGGCGAUGGAUAACUGUGGCAAUUCUAGAGCUAAUACAUGUGACACAGGCCGCGAUCGGCCGUCGCGCCGUGGUCGCCUCGCCUUCAUUGCGCGCUGGCACCCGCGGCGGCCGUCUUGGGUCGCGGCGCUACAUAUUAGACUGAGACCGAUGCGCGAUUCCCGUCCUCCCGUCUGCCGUGGGCUUCGGUUCGCGUGCCGGCGGGACCAAAGGGCGGCGCGCUCCGCUUUGGUGACUCUGGAUAACUCACUGGUCGAUCGCACGGGCUCAACGCCCGGCGACGGGUCCCCCGAGGGUCCGCCCUAUCAACUGUCGACGGUCGGUUAAGUGCCUACCGUGGUUACUACGGGUAACGGGGAAUCGGGGUUCGAUUCCGGAGAGGGAGCAUGCGAAACGGCUACCACAUCCAAGGAAGGCAGCAGGCGCGCAAAUUACCCACUCCCGGCACGGGGAGGUAGUGACGAAAAAUAACGACGCGGGACUCUGUCGAGGCCCCGCGAUCGGAAUGAGUACACUUCAAAUCCGUUAACGAGGACCAACCGGAGGGCAAGUCUGGUGCCAGCAGCCGCGGUAAUUCCAGCUCCGGUAGCGUAUAUUAAAGUUGUUGCGGUUAAAAAGCUCGUAGUCCGAACUCGGGUUCGUGGUCGCUCGCGCGGCCCCGGGGCGGCGGCGCCAUCGUCCAUCGUUGACUUUGGUCGUCCGUUCGCAUUCCCGGCCCUUUCCGCCGGUGUCGAUCGCUACAUAGACGGCCGCGGGCUAGCUGGCGGUGGGCGCGUCGUCGGCGUUCGGUUUCGGUUCGCGUUGGGGAGGCUCUCGGGUUCGUCCCGUCUGCCGACUCGGCGCGCGCCGCUCUUCCUUGCUCCGUCUUCCGGGCUCUCGGGCCCCCCGCCACCACGCGACCCCGCGUCGCCGUCGGCGAUUUCUCCUCCAAGGGUGCUCUUAACCGAGUGUCCGCGGCGGCCGGUACGUUCACUUUGAAAAAAUUAGAGUGCUCAGAGCGGGCUGUUCAAGCUUGCAUACGAUAAGCAUGGAAUGAUGGAAGAGGGCCUCGUCUACGUCUGUCGGUCUCCGUCUACGGCGAGGCAAUGAUCGAAGGGAGCGGUCGGGGCCACUCGUAUUGCGACGUUAGAGGUGAAAUUCUUGGAUCGUCGCAAGACGAACUGCAGCGAUGGCGUGUGGCAAGCACGUUUUCCUCGAUCAAGAGCGAAAGUCGGAGGUUCGAAGACGAUCAGAUACCGUCGUAGUUCCGACCGUAAACGAUGCCGACCGGCGAUCCGCCGGCGUUCGCUUCCAUGACCCGGCGGGUAGCCUGCGGGAAACCAGAGUUCGGUUCCGGGGGGAGUAUGGUUGCAAAGCUGAAACUUAAAGGAAUUGACGGAAGGGCACCACCAGGAGUGGAGCCUGCGGCUUAAUUUGACCCAACACGGGAAAACUCACCCGGUCCGGACACCGGUAGGAUUGACAGAUCGAUAGCUCUUUCUCGAUUCGGUGGGUGGUGGUGCAUGGCCGUUCUUAGUUGGUGGAGCGAUCCGUCUGGUUGAUUCCGAUAACGAACGAGACUCCGGCCUGCUAACUAGUGCGCCGAUGUGAGUGCGGCCCUCAGCUGGUCGUGUGCGGGCUGCGCGUCGGGGGCGGUCGAUUUUUGAUCGCCGUCUCCGCUCGCGUGUCCGGGUCGGUUUCUCACGCACUUCUUAGAGGGACGGGUGGCAGAAAGCCACACGAGGCGGAGCGAUAACAGGUCUGUGAUGCCCUUAGAUGUCCGGGGCCGCACGCGCGCUACACUGGAGGUAUCAGCGGGGACUUCGCCCCGGCCCGAGAGGGUCGGGAAACCUCUCAACCACCUCCCGUGAUAGGGAUCGGGGCCUGUAACCAACCCCGUGAACGAGGAAUUCCCGGUAGGCGCGGGUCAACAGCCCGCGUCGAUCACGUCCCUGCCCUUUGUACACACCGCCCGUCGCUACUACCGAUCGAACGGUCCGGUGAGGUCCUCGGAUCUGGCCGACGACGCCGCCGGGCGCGGUCCUUCGGGUCCCGCCUCGGCGUUCGAUGCCUGGAGAAGACGACCGAACCCGAUCGUUUAGAGGAAGUAAAAGUCGUAACAAGGUUUCCGUAGGUGAACCUGCGGAAGGAUCAUUA
Molecule: ribosomal RNA, 2278 nt
Filed under: Chiroteuthis calyx
Lineage: Eukaryota; Metazoa; Mollusca; Cephalopoda; Oegopsida; Chiroteuthidae
Description: SSU rRNA
Rfam family: Eukaryotic small subunit ribosomal RNA
Source: RNAcentral